Molecule: ribosomal RNA, 766 nt
Filed under: [Bisifusarium] allantoides
Lineage: Eukaryota; Fungi; Ascomycota; Sordariomycetes; Hypocreales; Nectriaceae
Description: Fusarium sp. OS-2020a partial large subunit ribosomal RNA
Rfam family: Eukaryotic large subunit ribosomal RNA
Source: RNAcentral
UUGAAAUCUGGCUCUCGGGCCCGAGUUGUAAUUUGUAGAGGAUGCUUUUGGUGAGGUGCCUUCCGAGUUCCCUGGAACGGGACGCCAUAGAGGGUGAGAGCCCCGUCUGGUUGGACACCGAGCCUCUGUAAAGCUCCUUCGACGAGUCGAGUAGUUUGGGAAUGCUGCUCUAAAUGGGAGGUAUAUGUCUUCUAAAGCUAAAUAUUGGCCAGAGACCGAUAGCGCACAAGUAGAGUGAUCGAAAGAUGAAAAGCACUUUGAAAAGAGAGUUAAAAAGCACGUGAAAUUGUUGAAAGGGAAGCGCUUGUGACCAGACUUGGGCUUGGUUGAUCAUCCGGCGUUCUCGCCGGUGCACUCUUCCAGUUCAGGCCAGCAUCAGUUUGCUUCGGGGGAUAAAAGUUUCGGGAAUGUGGCUCCUCCGGGAGUGUUAUAGCCCGUUACAUAAUACCCUGGGGCAGACUGAGGUUCGCGCAUUUAUGCAAGGAUGCUGGCGUAAUGGUCAUCAGCGACCCGUCUUGAAACACGGACCAAGGAGUCGUCUUCGUAUGCGAGUGUUCGGGUGUCAAACCCCUACGCGUAAUGAAAGUGAACGCAGGUGAGAGCUUCGGCGCAUCAUCGACCGAUCCUGAUGUUCUCGGAUGGAUUUGAGUAAGAGCAUACGGGGCCGGACCCGAAAGAAGGUGAACUAUGCCUGUAUAGGGUGAAGCCAGAGGAAACUCUGGUGGAGGCUCGCAGCGGUUCUGACGUGCAAAUCGAUCGUCAAAUA